RNAcentral lists this ribosomal RNA (253 nucleotides) under uncultured bacterium. RNAcentral's name for it is "partial 16S ribosomal RNA". It matches the Rfam family "Bacterial small subunit ribosomal RNA", at positions 524 to 776 of the family's 1533-position model. The record is from RNAcentral.
UACAGAGGGUGCAAGCGUUAAUCGGAAUUACUGGGCGUAAAGCGUGCGUAGGCGGUUACAUAAGUCGGGUGUGAAAGCCCCGGGCUCAACCUGGGAAUUGCAUUCGAGACUGCGUAGCUAGGGUGCGGAAGAGGGAAGCGGAAUUUCCGGUGUAGCGGUGAAAUGCGUAGAUAUCGGAAGGAACACCAGUGGCGAAGGCGACUUCCUGGCCUGUUCUUGACGCUGAGGCGCGAAAGCUAGGGGAGCAAACGGG